RNAcentral lists this ribosomal RNA (253 nucleotides) under uncultured bacterium. Its description in RNAcentral is "partial 16S ribosomal RNA". It matches the Rfam family "Bacterial small subunit ribosomal RNA", at positions 524 to 776 of the family's 1533-position model. The record is from RNAcentral.
UACGUAGGGUGCGAGCGUUAAUCGGAAUUACUGGGCGUAAAGUGUGCGCAGGCGGCGCCGCAAGUCGAGUGUGAAAUCCCCGAGCUUAACUUGGGAAUUGCGCUCGAAACUACGACGCUGGAGUAUGGCAGAGGAAGGUGGAAUUCCACGUGUAGCGGUGAAAUGCGUAGAGGUGUGGAGGAACACCGAUGGCGAAGGCAGCCUUCUGGGCCAAUACUGACGCUCAUGCACGAAAGCGUGGGGAGCAAACAGG